This is a long non-coding RNA of Hemicordylus capensis (graceful crag lizard), 468 nucleotides long. RefSeq lists it as uncharacterized. Lineage: Eukaryota; Metazoa; Chordata; Lepidosauria; Squamata; Cordylidae. The record is from RefSeq and is a predicted model, not a curated record. The transcript is spliced from 3 exons.
GAGCGCGGCCUCUAGCGGCGGCUUUUGGUAGUUCAUAUGGAUUGCCCCAUUUCUCUUCAAUUGAGGGGAUUUGUGGGUGUAAGAGAGAUUGUAUUUCUUCUGCCCGCUUGACUGACGAAGAGUUCUGUGCCACCCGGCAGGUUGCGUGCUACUGCUUUGGUUGGACCUUCUAAAUAAAAAGUCAGAUGCACUUUAGCAGCCCAUACCACCAGUGGAAACAUUUUGCCAAAUUAUUGUUUGGACCGAAGAAUAUAACCGGCAUGGCGCCUGAGAGAGACUGCAGUGGUUAUUGUCCUAGAUUCAGUUUCCACCAGGUGUUUAAACGUACUAAGCUGCUGACUGUGUCUGGUUCCGAUGAGUCAGAGGAAUCAUAAGAGUCAUCAGAUGGAAUAGGCACCACCUCUGGAAUCGGUACCAGGGCACCCACUGGGCGUGCAGCUGGAAGCGGAUGUGACCCAUCACCAGCAG